GGUUAAGCGACUAAGCGUACACGGUGGAUGCCCUGGCAGUCAGAGGCGAUGAAGGGCGUGCUAAUCUGCGAUAAGCGCCGGUAAGGUGAUAUGAACCGUUAUAACCGGCGAUACCCGAAUGGGGAAACCCAGUGUGAUUCGUCACACUAUCAUUAACUGAAUCCAUAGGUUAAUGAGGCGAACCGGGGGAACUGAAACAUCUAAGUACCCCGAGGAAAAGAAAUCAACCGAGAUUCCCCCAGUAGCGGCGAGCGAACGGGGAGGAGCCCAGAGCCUGAAUCAGCAUGUGUGUUAGUGGAAGCGUCUGGAAAGGUGCGCGAUACAGGGUGACAGCCCCGUACACAAAAGCGCAUGUGCUGUGAGCUCGAUGAGUAGGGCGGGACACGUGGUAUCCUGUCUGAAUAUGGGGGGACCAUCCUCCAAGGCUAAAUACUCCUGACUGACCGAUAGUGAACCAGUACCGUGAGGGAAAGGCGAAAAGAACCCCGGCGAGGGGAGUGAAAAAGAACCUGAAACCGUGUACGUACAAGCAGUGGGAGCACAGGUUUACCUGUGUGACUGCGUACCUUUUGUAUAAUGGGUCAGCGACUUAUAUUCUGUAGCAAGGUUAACCGAAUAGGGGAGCCGGAGGGAAACCGAGUCUUAAUUGGGCGUUAAGUUGCAGGGUAUAGACCCGAAACCCGGUGAUCUAGCCAUGGGCAGGUUGAAGGUUGGGUAACACUAACUGGAGGACCGAACCGACUAAUGUUGAAAAAUUAGCGGAUGACCUGUGGCUGGGGGUGAAAGGCCAAUCAAACCGGGAGAUAGCUGGUUCUCCCCGAAAGCUAUUUAGGUAGCGCCUCGUGAAUUCAUCUCCGGGGGUAGAGCACUGUUUCGGCUAGGGGGCCAUCCCGGCUUACCAACCCGAUGCAAACUGCGAAUACCGGAGAAUGUUAUCACGGGAGACACACGGCGGGUGCUAACGUCCGUCGUGAAGAGGGAAACAACCCAGACCGCCAGCUAAGGUCCCAAAGUCAUGGUUAAGUGGGAAACGAUGUGGGAAGGCCCAGACAGCCAGGAUGUUGGCUUAGAAGCAGCCAUCAUUUAAAGAAAGCGUAAUAGCUCACUGGUCGAGUCGGCCUGCGCGGAAGAUGUAACGGGGCUAAACCAUGCACCGAAGCUGCGGCAGCGAACGUAUCACCCAAGACAACUUUACGGAGUUGACGAUUGACGGAGCGAAGCGACGUCAAAGCGUUCAUUAAAGUCGAGUUGGCUUAGGGAUACGUUCGUUGGGUAGGGGAGCGUUCUGUAAGCCUGUGAAGGUGUGUCGUGAGGCAUGCUGGAGGUAUCAGAAGUGCGAAUGCUGACAUAAGUAACGAUAAAGCGGGUGAAAAGCCCGCUCGCCGGAAGACCAAGGGUUCCUGUCCAACGUUAAUCGGGGCAGGGUGAGUCGACCCCUAAGGCGAGGCCGAAAGGCGUAGUCGAUGGGAAACGGGUUAAUAUUCCCGUACUUGGUGUUACUGCGAAGGGGGGACGGAGAAGGCUAUGUUGGCCGGGCGACGGUUGUCCCGGUUUAAGCGUGUAGGUGUGUGUUCCAGGUAAAUCCGGUUCACUUUAACACUGAGGCGUGACGACGAGGCACUACGGUGCUGAAGCAACAAAUGCCCUGCUUCCAGGAAAAGCCUCUAAGCAUCAGGUAACACGAAAUCGUACCCCAAACCGACACAGGUGGUCAGGUAGAGAAUACCAAGGCGCUUGAGAGAACUCGGGUGAAGGAACUAGGCAAAAUGGUGCCGUAACUUCGGGAGAAGGCACGCUGACACGUAGGUGAAGUGAUUUACUCAUGGAGCUGAAGUCAGUCGAAGAUACCAGCUGGCUGCAACUGUUUAUUAAAAACACAGCACUGUGCAAACACGAAAGUGGACGUAUACGGUGUGACGCCUGCCCGGUGCCGGAAGGUUAAUUGAUGGGGUCAGCGCAAGCGAAGCUCCUGAUCGAAGCCCCGGUAAACGGCGGCCGUAACUAUAACGGUCCUAAGGUAGCGAAAUUCCUUGUCGGGUAAGUUCCGACCUGCACGAAUGGCGUAAUGAUGGCCAGGCUGUCUCCACCCGAGACUCAGUGAAAUUGAACUCGCUGUGAAGAUGCAGUGUACCCGCGGCAAGACGGAAAGACCCCGUGAACCUUUACUAUAGCUUGACACUGAACAUUGAGCCUUGAUGUGUAGGAUAGGUGGGAGGCUUUGAAGUGUGGACGCCAGUCUGCAUGGAGCCGACCUUGAAAUACCACCCUUUAAUGUUUGAUGUUCUAACGUGGACCCGUAAUCCGGGUUGCGGACAGUGUCUGGUGGGUAGUUUGACUGGGGCGGUCUCCUCCUAAAGAGUAACGGAGGAGCACGAAGGUUGGCUAAUCCUGGUCGGACAUCAGGAGGUUAGUGCAAUGGCAUAAGCCAGCUUGACUGCGAGCGUGACGGCGCGAGCAGGUGCGAAAGCAGGUCAUAGUGAUCCGGUGGUUCUGAAUGGAAGGGCCAUCGCUCAACGGAUAAAAGGUACUCCGGGGAUAACAGGCUGAUACCGCCCAAGAGUUCAUAUCGACGGCGGUGUUUGGCACCUCGAUGUCGGCUCAUCACAUCCUGGGGCUGAAGUAGGUCCCAAGGGUAUGGCUGUUCGCCAUUUAAAGUGGUACGCGAGCUGGGUUUAGAACGUCGUGAGACAGUUCGGUCCCUAUCUGCCGUGGGCGCUGGAGAACUGAGGGGGGCUGCUCCUAGUACGAGAGGACCGGAGUGGACGCAUCACUGGUGUUCGGGUUGUCAUGCCAAUGGCACUGCCCGGUAGCUAAAUGCGGAAGAGAUAAGUGCUGAAAGCAUCUAAGCACGAAACUUGCCCCGAGAUGAGUUCUCCCUGAGACUUAGAGUCUCCUGAAGGAACGUUGAAGACGACGACGUUGAUAGGCCGGGUGUGUAAGCGCAGCGAUGCGUUGAGCUAACCGGUACUAAUGAACCGUGAGGCUUAACCUU
This 2992-nucleotide ribosomal RNA is filed under the name Salmonella enterica. Its description in RNAcentral is "23S ribosomal RNA". It matches the Rfam family "Bacterial large subunit ribosomal RNA". RNAcentral also lists the same sequence under 2 other names. Lineage: Bacteria; Pseudomonadati; Pseudomonadota; Gammaproteobacteria; Enterobacterales; Enterobacteriaceae. The record is from RNAcentral.